GAUGAACGCUAGCUACAGGCUUAACACAUGCAAGUCGAGGGGCAGCAUGGUCUUAGCUUGCUAAGGCCGAUGGCGACCGGCGCACGGGUGAGUAACACGUAUCCAACCUGCCGUCUACUCUUGGACAGCCUUCUGAAAGGAAGAUUAAUACAAGAUGGCAUCAUGAGUCCGCAUGUUCACAUGAUUAAAGGUAUUCCGGUAGACGAUGGGGAUGCGUUCCAUUAGAUAGUAGGCGGGGUAACGGCCCACCUAGUCUUCGAUGGAUAGGGGUUCUGAGAGGAAGGUCCCCCACAUUGGAACUGAGACACGGUCCAAACUCCUACGGGAGGCAGCAGUGAGGAAUAUUGGUCAAUGGGCGAGAGCCUGAACCAGCCAAGUAGCGUGAAGGAUGACUGCCCUAUGGGUUGUAAACUUCUUUUAUAAAGGAAUAAAGUCGGGUAUGGAUACCCGUUUGCAUGUACUUUAUGAAUAAGGAUCGGCUAACUCCGUGCCAGCAGCCGCGGUAAUACGGAGGAUCCGAGCGUUAUCCGGAUUUAUUGGGUUUAAAGGGAGCGUAGAUGGAUGUUUAAGUCAGUUGUGAAAGUUUGCGGCUCAACCGUAAAAUUGCAGUUGAUACUGGAUAUCUUGAGUGCAGUUGAGGCAGGCGGAAUUCGUGGUGUAGCGGUGAAAUGCUUAGAUAUCGCGAAGAACUCCGAUUGCGAAGGCAGCCUGCUAAGCUGCAACUGACAUUGAGGCUCGAAAGUGUGGGUAUCAAACAGGAUUAGAUACCCUGGUAGUCCACACGGUAAACGAUGAAUACUCGCUGUUUGCGAUAUACUGCAAGCGGCCAAGCGAAAGCGUUAAGUAUUCCACCUGGGGAGUACGCCGGCAACGGUGAAACUCAAAGGAAUUGACGGGGGCCCGCACAAGCGGAGGAACAUGUGGUUUAAUUCGAUGAUACGCGAGGAACCUUACCCGGGCUUAAAUUGCAGAUGAAUUACGGUGAAAGCCGUAAGCCGCAAGGCAUCUGUGAAGGUGCUGCAUGGUUGUCGUCAGCUCGUGCCGUGAGGUGUCGGCUUAAGUGCCAUAACGAGCGCAACCCUUGUUGUCAGUUACUAACAGGUUCCGCUGAGGACUCUGACAAGACUGCCAUCGUAAGAUGUGAGGAAGGUGGGGAUGACGUCAAAUCAGCACGGCCCUUACGUCCGGGGCUACACACGUGUUACAAUGGGGGGUACAGAGGGCCGCUACCACGCGAGUGGAUGCCAAUCCCCAAAACCUCUCUCAGUUCGGACUGGAGUCUGCAACCCGACUCCACGAAGCUGGAUUCGCUAGUAAUCGCGCAUCAGCCACGGCGCGGUGAAUACGUUCCCGGGCCU
Molecule: ribosomal RNA, 1358 nt
Filed under: uncultured bacterium
Lineage: Bacteria
Description: bacterial SSU rRNA
Rfam family: Bacterial small subunit ribosomal RNA
Source: RNAcentral